This 516-nucleotide ribosomal RNA is filed under the name Metschnikowia pimensis. RNAcentral's name for it is "eukaryotic LSU rRNA". It matches the Rfam family "Eukaryotic large subunit ribosomal RNA", at positions 40 to 641 of the family's 3401-position model. The record is from RNAcentral. Lineage: Eukaryota; Fungi; Ascomycota; Pichiomycetes; Serinales; Metschnikowiaceae.
AUAUCAAUAAGCGGAGGAAAAGAAACCAACAGGGAUUGCCCCAGUAACGGCGAGUGAAGCGGCAAAAGCUCAAAUUUGAAAUCCUCAGGGAAUUGUAAUUUGAAGAUGUUUGGGUCAAGGCUAGCAGAGGUUAAGUCCACUGGAACGUGGCGCCACAGAGGGUGACAGCCCCGUGAACCUCCUAAAGCCCCUUAUCCCUCUCAUCCAAGAGUCGAGUUGUUUGGGAAUGCAGCUCUAAGUGGGUGGUAAAUUCCAUCUAAAGCUAAAUACCGGCGAGAGACCGAUAGCGAACAAGUACAGUGAUGGAAAGAUGAAAAGCACUUUGAAAAGAGAGUGAAAAAGUACGUGAAAUUGUUGAAAGGGAAGGGCUUGCAAGCAGACACUUAAUUGGGCCAGCAUCGGGGCGGCAGGGAGAAAACCUCCCGGGAAAUGUACCUCUCGAGUGUUAUAGUCCCGGGCAUCCUCUCCCAUUCUGCCCCGAGGCCUGCGUAUCUAGGAUGCUGGCGUAAUGGUUGC